AUGUUCAGUGGACUGUGAAAUUGGGGUCAAAACUCUUAUUUGGCAUAAAAUUAGAACGAUCAUAUCAUAAGGAACCUGUGUACUAAGUUUCAAGUCGAUUGGACUUCAAAUUCAACAAAAUCUACCUUGACCAAAACUUAAACCUGAAGCGGGACGAACGAACAUACAGAUGAAUGAACGGACGUACAGACCAGAAAACAUAAUGCCCAUCUACUAUCGUAGGUGGGGCAUAAAAAAGACCUGAUCCAUCUGUUGAUAGUAGUAAACAUUUCUGAUUAAUGUACUUAUAUAACAGUCUUGACUUGGAUUGAAAUGUAAAGUUUUAAGGACUUUUCACUAUAUAUUCAAAGAAGGUUUCAUG
This 361-nucleotide long non-coding RNA is filed under the name Mytilus galloprovincialis (Mediterranean mussel). The record is from RNAcentral. Lineage: Eukaryota; Metazoa; Mollusca; Bivalvia; Mytilida; Mytilidae.